RNAcentral lists this microRNA precursor (59 nucleotides) under Homo sapiens (human). RNAcentral's name for it is "Hsa-Mir-430-P36_pre stem-loop". It matches the Rfam family "mir-515 microRNA precursor family", at positions 16 to 74 of the family's 87-position model. The record is from RNAcentral. Lineage: Eukaryota; Metazoa; Chordata; Mammalia; Primates; Hominidae.
CUCUAGAGGGAAGCGCUUUCUGUUGGCUAAAAGAAAAGAAAGCGCUUCCCUUCAGAGUG